This 391-nucleotide ribosomal RNA is filed under the name Laccaria amethystina. RNAcentral's name for it is "partial large subunit ribosomal RNA". It matches the Rfam family "Bacterial large subunit ribosomal RNA", at positions 1712 to 2098 of the family's 2925-position model. Lineage: Eukaryota; Fungi; Basidiomycota; Agaricomycetes; Agaricales; Hydnangiaceae. The record is from RNAcentral.
UUUAUUUAUAUUCUUAUUUUUUUAAUUAAUUUAAAUUAAUAUUGAUAAGCCAUUAAAAAAAUAAUUUAUAACGGUGACACAAAAUCGGAGGCCACGACUGUUUACUAAAAACACAACACAGUGCAAUCAUUAAUAUGAUAGUAUACUGUGUGAAAUUUGCCCGAUGCCAUUAAUAUAAGAGCGAUCAUGGUUUUCUGUGAUUAAUCGAAAAUCUGGUUAAUAGCGGUCUUAACUAUGAGGAUCCUAAGGUAGCAAAAUAAAUUGGCCUUUAAAUGAGGUCCGGUAUCAAUAAUGUAACGAUGGUCUCACUGUCUCUACAACUUGCUCAGUGAAAUUGAAUUACGCGUGCAGAUGCGCGUUGCCUUCAGGGGGACGGGAAGACCCUAUGCAG